Molecule: ribosomal RNA, 484 nt
Filed under: uncultured bacterium
Lineage: Bacteria
Description: partial 16S ribosomal RNA
Rfam family: Bacterial small subunit ribosomal RNA
Source: RNAcentral
AUUGAACGCUGGCGGCAGGCCUAACACAUGCAAGUCGAGCGGAAGAAGGGUGCUUGCUCCUGGAUUCAGCGGCGGACGGGUGAGUAAUGCCUAGGAAUCUGCCUGGUUGCGGGGGAUAACGUCCGGACACGGGCGCUAAUACCGCAUACGUCCAGAGGGAGAAAGUGGGGGAUCUUCGGAUCUUACGCUCUCAGAUGAGUCUAGGUCGGGUUAGCUAGUUGGUGGGGUAAAGGCCUACCAAGGCGACGAUCCGUAACUGGUCUGAGAGGCUGAGCAGGCACACUGGAACUGGGACACGGUCCAGACUCCUACGGGAAGGAACAGUGGGGAAUAUUGGGCAAUGGGCGGAAGCCUUGUCCAGCCAUGCCGCGUGUGUGAAAAAGGUCUUCGGAUUGUAAAGCACUUUUGGUUGGGAGGAAGAGCAGUAAGUUAAUACCUUGCUGUUUUGACGGUACCAACAGAAUAAGCACCGGCUAACUUCGUG